GGCCCCGCCUGCCCGGUGACCUAAUGUUUAACGGCCGCGGUAUCCUGACCGUGCGAAGGUAGCGCAAUAACUUGUCUUUUAAAUGGGGACUAGUAUGAAUGGCACCACGAGGGCUUAUCUGUCUCCUCUUUCAAGUCAAUGAAAUUGAUCUUCCCGUGCAAAAGCGGGAAUAAGCACAUAAGACGAGAAGACCCUGUGGAGCUUUAGACACCAAGACAGCUCGCGUUAAGAAUACCCCAAUAAAGGUUUGAACUAAAAAAGACCUGCCCUAAUGUCUUUGGUUGGGGCGACCGCGGAGUAAAAGAAAACCUCCCUCUGCAUGGAAUGAGGGUAAAAUUCAUUCCCUUUAAACCAAGAGCGACAGCUCGAACUAACAGAAUUUUCUGACCUUAAAGAUCCGGCUCACUGCCGAUCAACGAAUCAAGUUACCCCAGGGAUAACAGCGCAAUCCCCUUUUAGAGCCCAUAUCGACAAGGGGGUUUACGACCUCGAUGUUGGAUCAGGACAUCCUAAUGGUGCAGCCGCUAUUAAGGGUUCGUUUGUUCAACGAUUAAAGUCCUACGUGAUC
This 568-nucleotide ribosomal RNA is filed under the name Inegocia japonica (rusty flathead). RNAcentral's name for it is "partial 16S ribosomal RNA". It matches the Rfam family "Bacterial large subunit ribosomal RNA", at positions 1851 to 2605 of the family's 2925-position model. Lineage: Eukaryota; Metazoa; Chordata; Actinopteri; Perciformes; Platycephalidae. The record is from RNAcentral.